RNAcentral lists this ribosomal RNA (502 nucleotides) under uncultured Glomus. RNAcentral's name for it is "SSU rRNA". It matches the Rfam family "Eukaryotic small subunit ribosomal RNA", at positions 569 to 1074 of the family's 1831-position model. Lineage: Eukaryota; Fungi; Glomeromycota; Glomeromycetes; Glomerales; Glomeraceae. The record is from RNAcentral.
AGCAGCCGCGGUAAUUCCAGCUCCAAUAGCGUAUAUUAAAGUUGUUGCAGUUAAAAAGCUCGUAGUUGAAUUUCGGGGUCAGUAAGUUGGUCGUGCCACUGGUAUGCACUGGCUUUACUGACUCCUCCUUCUUGAAGAACUGUGAUGCCAUUAAUUUGGUGUUGCAGGGAAACAGGACUGUUACUUUGAAAAAUUAGAGUGUUUAAAGCAGGCUAACGCUUGAAUACAUUAGCAUGGAAUAAUGAAAUAGGACGCUCGAUCCUAUUUUGUUGGUUUCUAGGGUUGACGUAAUGAUUAAUAGGGAUAGUUGGGGGCAUUAGUAUUCAAUUGUCAGAGGUGAAAUUCUUGGAUUUAUUGAAGACUAACUACUGCGAAAGCAUUUGCCAAGGAUGUUUUCAUUAAUCAAGAACGAAAGUUAGGGGAUCGAAGACGAUCAGAUACCGUCGUAGUCUUAACCAUAAACUAUGCCGACUAGGGAUCGGAUGAUGUUAAUUUUUAAUGA